UAGAGAAUUGUAUUUUCCUAUUUGGUGUUUUUGUAAAUUAAUCAUAAUUCUGAGACCAGUUUGUAUCAGAAGUGAGCUAAACCUGAGUGAAAACCCCUCGUGUUAAAACCACAUAAAAAAUAAAGAGUUUUUUCUUGGUUUGUUUUGUUUUGUGUUAGGAUUAGUGCGCGUCGGGUAAUUAAUAACCAGCUAAACAAUAGAAGUCUAUGCGAUGACCUGUUUGUAUAUCUGAGCGCGCGCGUGUGGGUUUGUGAAUAAUAACUCAUCAUAACUCAUCAGACUGCGAUGAUUCAUUGCUCCAUCUGACAGACAUUCUCCGCGUGUCUAGAGGAGGAGUUUCUCCAUGAUUCUCACCUGAACCGAGACCAGAGGAACACCGACGACAAGAUGUCCAGAAGAGUGGAGGUGAUCAUCAGCUCCUCAGCUCCGCAGGAUCCGGCCGAGGCUCCUCUUCACAUCACAGAGUCGAAGCCCGGAGAGCAUCCAGGAGUGAAGGGCUUCCUGAUGAUCAAGCCGGCGGUGCUGGGGUGGCUGGAGAUCCUGACCGGUGCCGGGGUGCUUGGACUCGUCUAUUGGAAUUACACUCUCUGGCUGUUAAUACCGGCUUGCUUUGUGAUUUUAAUAGGAGUCAUAACAGCUACAGCUGCAUGUACACGCAACCCCUGUCUGGUGGUCACUUCUCAAGUGCUGAAUCUGCUCAACAUCUGCAAUGUGGUGACGGCCGUCGUCGUGUUUUUCGUCAGUGUCUUGCUUGUGUUUCUCGGAGACAUUGUUGGAGCUGCUCUUCGCACACAUUUUGUGAGCAGCCGCUCCGAGAGUCCCUCUUCUCAGACCGCAAACAUCGCCUUCAUCGCCUGUAAUGUUCUGGCGCUCCUCUUCUCUCUGAUCAUCAUCAUGACCUCGUGCUGCUGGUGUAGAUCGAGAAAGCGUCUGAUGGUGAUCCACAUGAACACAGCUUCAGCUGCAGAGCUCAGUGAUGACGUGGAUUAUCCGUGUCCAGAACUUUCACCGCCAGCCUAUAGUCCGGUUCCGUCUUCAGAACCGCCGGCCUACGAGGAGGAACGACGCUCGACUCUCUCUGGAGUUUCUACUCAGAAGUGGGCAAUGAGGAAAUGGAAAGAAGAACUGCAGCGCAGCAGAAAACCCAUCCAAGUCUGACCUGAGUCAUUUAUUUCUAUGCUCUGACGUAGAGCUGUAGUGACUUUAGGGACCUAUAGACAACAGUCACUGGUGGAUGUCACAGAACUUCCUGGACGACAUCAACUGAUGCAUUUUUAAAAUUUUGUCCUUGUUUUUAAAAACAGCCACAUUAAAAGGUUUUAAGUCAUGCUUCCACAAAUUAAGGCUUAAAAGAGCAAAGAAGGUUGUGGCAUUAAAUGUUGCAUGAACUGCACAAAUGAAUAUCUUCAGUAUUUUUGUCUAAGUGCUAAUAUCUAAACAUCCUGAAAUCAAGAUAUGAAGUCUUGCUUUUUUAAAGAUGUUUAUCAAUAUGAAGGGAGUUUAAGGGGAAUGAAAACUGGUUUCCCUUUGAAUUUGAAGUAGAUUUUAAUCUGUUGGACCUGUGUUUUCAUGCUUUGAAGUGUUGCUAAUAUUGUGCUCAUGUGUUCUCCUCAGACAUUUACUUUGAGAACACAGCGAAGUAAUGAGUUCUCUUUCAUUUAUUCUUUUUUUUGUCUCAGAAAAGUCUUAAAUUUACAUUUAAAUUUACAAAUUUACUACUUGCUGAAACCCUGAAAUACAAGAUUUUACAAUUAUUUGAGGAAAGGAAAUAAUGUUUAUGACACAGUUUGUGUCAGAUUUUGAAAAAUGUGUGUUUGGUGAGUAGUUUUAGAGAGUAUUUCAGUAUUUGGAUCAGGAGCUGUACUUGCAUGACUGAAAAUAACCGUCCCAAGUUGACCGCUGAGAUAUUAUGAUAUUUGUUCAUCUGUGAACAGUUAGAAACUCAGCAAAAGUGCUUCUGCUUUACCUCAGACUCUUCACAUGUUCUUCUUGUGUGCAAUGUUAACUAUUUAAUGCUAGUUUUUAGUUUCUUUUGAAUGCUUAUGUAGACUUUGUAAACCGUUUUGAAGAUGCACUAUAAAGUUCAUGUAUUGUUAGUCUUGUUGUGUUUGAUUUCUCUCAGAAAGCUUUCUCAACCCAACACUAACAGAAACCAACAGACCUCUUGAAGACGUUCGUCCAAUCUAAUGAAUCUUUCUGGACAACAUAUUCUGUAGGUUUCUCGUCAGUGUUUUGCAUCUGAUUCAUUCAUGAGCUGUUGGAGAAAUUGCAUGAUUGUAUUGAAAUAAUGAUGUUGUUAUAGAUGUCAAUGACUACCAGCAAUUGGUUGGUUAACGACAUUCUUCAAAAUAUCAUCUGUUGUGUUCAGCAGCUGAAAUAAAUUCAUACAGGGUUGGAAUAAGUGGAUGAUGACAGAUGUUUCAAUAUUUGGUGAACUGUCACUUUAAGAGACAGAUUAGC
Molecule: long non-coding RNA, 2460 nt
Organism: Cyprinus carpio carpio
Lineage: Eukaryota; Metazoa; Chordata; Actinopteri; Cypriniformes; Cyprinidae
Source: Ensembl